Molecule: long non-coding RNA, 867 nt
Organism: Spinacia oleracea (spinach)
Lineage: Eukaryota; Viridiplantae; Streptophyta; Magnoliopsida; Caryophyllales; Amaranthaceae
Exons: 5
Source: RefSeq, a predicted model, not a curated record
ACGUAUAUUAUUUAUAUUUAAAUAGAAUUUAUGAAUUUUAAGUAAUAAAUAUAUAAUUAACGUAUAUUUAUUUUAUUUUAAGUACGUUCUAAAUAUUUAACGAUUUUUGAACUUUAUUAUAUUUAUAUAUUUAAUGUAUAUUUAAUUUUAUUUAAAUAUAUUCUAAAUAUUUUAACGAUUUGUGCAAUCAAGAAUAAUUUUAGAAUUUUAAGUUGAAAAGAAUUUGAAUUACGAAAAUUGAUUGAAUUUAGAAAAUGAUCCUAUUCAGUUUUGGAUUCGAAUCAUAAAAGCUAAAUCCUAAUUCUAGCCCACUUGGAAAAGCCCAACAUUAAAAUCCAAAGCCAAAACCCCACCCAAACCAUUUUCACGUAAAACACCAAAACCCUUUUGCUUUCUCUCUGUUUCACGUACAGCAGGCAACACUCAGCCGUUUUUCUCUCUCCUUCCUUCACGCCACUGCGUCCUGCUCAGUCGCCGGACCACCAGUCCGUCGCCGCCGCAGCAGUCACGAGCCUCACCGCCGUGAGUCUUCCUCGCCGUCAGCUCAACCCCGACCACCGCGCACGCCACCACCAUCGCGUGCCGCCACCGUAUGCAACCACCUUGCCCAGCCUCGCUGCCGCGCCUGCACUAUCGCCGGCCAGCACCUCCUCCUUCUCUUUUUGGCGGAGAAUUCUUUGUGGGCGACUUUUGAAUUCGUUAAAGUGGCCUAUCAGUUUGUUUACACAAGUCUCUAAGGAUCAAUAAGCAUUGUCCAUCUGCAGGUUUGAAGAUGUUGCAUCAUUGGGAUCGGGAAUAGAGAGCUUGUAUUUAGUUUUGAUUUGCUAAGUUAACUUGGGUUUGUUAAUUGGGACUAUAAACUUGUCG